RNAcentral lists this ribosomal RNA (492 nucleotides) under uncultured bacterium. Its description in RNAcentral is "partial 16S ribosomal RNA". It matches the Rfam family "Bacterial small subunit ribosomal RNA", at positions 29 to 507 of the family's 1533-position model. The record is from RNAcentral.
AGUGAACGCUGGCGGUAGGCCUAACACAUGCAAGUCGAACGGCAGCACAGUAAGAGCUUGCUCUUACGGGUGGCGAGUGGCGGACGGGUGAGGAAUACAUCGGAAUCUACUUUUUCGUGGGGGAUAACGUAGGGAAACUUACGCUAAUACCGCAUACGACCUACGGGUGAAACCAGGGGAUCUUCGGACCUUGCGCGAUUGAUUGAGCCGAUGUCGGAUUAGCUAGUUGGCGGGGUAAAGGCCCACCAAGGCGACGAUCCGUAGCUGGUCUGAGAGAAUGAUCAGCCACACUGGAACUGAGACACGGUCCAGACUCCUACGGGAGGCAGCAGUGGGGAAUAUUGGACAAUGGGCGCAAGCCUGAUCCAGCCAUACCGCGUGGGUGAAGAAGGCCUUCGGGUUGUAAAGCCCUUUUGUUGGGAAAGAAAAGCAGCAGGUUAAUACCCCGCUGUUCUGACGGUACCCAAAGAAUAAGCACCGGCUAACUUCGUG